Long non-coding RNA from Aquila chrysaetos chrysaetos, 1439 nucleotides. RefSeq lists it as uncharacterized. The transcript is spliced from 3 exons. NCBI's taxonomy places the organism in Eukaryota, Metazoa, Chordata, Aves, Accipitriformes, Accipitridae. The record is from RefSeq and is a predicted model, not a curated record.
CUCCUCAUGAAGUAAUCAGCUAAAGAAAUAAGACUGGGCAGAUGAAAACCUGGGAAGGUAAUAGAAGCUGGGGGAAUGGAAGUCGGUGCCUGAAACAAUUAAGAGUUCAGAGAAAUGUUGUUCCAGGGAGUGUCUGACUAGUUCUGCAGCUUGGCAAAAAAGCCAGACGUUACCUCAUAGCUGCGGCCAGACAGCCCAUUUCUAUGCCAGGCAACCACUGCAGAAGCACACAGCACAGGGCCCUGCUUGAUUAGCACUUCUGCUGUUUCAAGAGUCCUGGAGUGUUUUGUUCAAGAUUCAUAGAGCAGAGUCACACAGGAGAUGUCGCAGCAUUAACCUGGGCUGCCAAGGAGCUCUUCGUUCCACACCUUGUACACAGAGCGUUCAGUGCCACGGCUGCUCCAGGCCCCGUUAAGAGUUCAUAUUCCUGUGAUUGUCGUUAAUGCUCGUAGAGCAGCUCUGUGGCCUCUGGCCCGCGUGCCGUGGGAGGCUGCAAGCUCGCCGAAGCCGGAGCAACCUCAGCACCGGUCUCUGCUGUACGGUAGCUAGUGCUUUAGCCUGAGCAUCCCGACCAACAGCGCCAGGGCAAAUCCCUGCUCAGGUUAUUGCGUCCUUGGUCUUUGUUUACUUCUGCGUAUGAGGGCACUCUGUGCAAAGGCAAUCUAAAGCUCACCAGACUGAGACAUGGUUUGCUCAAGGACCCGAAUGCAGCAGUUCUCCUCCCACCUGGCCCACCUCUCCCUCGUGGCUCGGCUCCCCAUGGUUCCCUCCCUGGGGAAAGCAGCUGCUUUUGUGCGGACGUGGGGCUUGUCCUGACCCUGGGUAAGGAGAGAGCCGAGAGCACAACUGAGAGCUCAACUGAGAGCUCUCAAAGGCUUCUGGGUUCACCUGUGCAGGUACAAAGUACACAGCAGGAGAACAUCUGCCUACAGGGAGUACUGGGGAAGACUUGUAAUGCUUGAAUCAUUUUUGUCUGCUCCUCUGGUGCAAAAUGGACAGGUCCCAACCCAGCACAUAGCAAAGUCAGAUGCUGGAUUCUCUUCUGGCUGGUUACAUUACCACUGCCUACAGCUCCUUCCCAUCCUGGAGGAAUCCUUUGCUCUGCGGACGGUAGGGCAGCAGCACAGCGCCCAGGCAAACCGUGUGCUAUGAAGGACCUCUGUGUGCAGCUGUGCGCCUUGGCAGUGCCCCACAUUUGGAGGCUUCGGACCCAGUGUGUUUGUCUGUCCCUAGUCUCAUGAGAGGGACAGGAGCGGAGCUCAGAUCCAAAUACAGAUGCUAGUCUCCUGUGUAAAGAAAAAACUGGGGUUUGGGGAAAUUUCUCUUUUUGCAUCUCUAGUCCCGGCCUUGAACUGUCCCUCCCCAUCCCACAGAGUUACCAUCUCCCCUAGCAUGGAUGUAUUUGUUUUUCACUGGUCCUUCGAUAAUUGCAUUUCUUC